GUGAGAGACAGGUGAGAGACAGGUGAGGGACAGGUGAGGGACAGGUGAGAGACAGGUGAGAGACAGGUGAGAGACAGGGGAGAGACAGGUGAGAGACAGGUGAGGGACAGGUGAGAGACAGGUGAGGGACAGGUGAGAGACAGGUGAGGGACAGGGGAGAGACAGGUGAGGGACAGGUGAGGGACAGGUGAGAGACAGGGGAGAGACAGGUGAGGGACAGGGGAGAGACAGGUGAGAGACAGGGGAGAGACAGGGGAGGGACAGGUGAGAGACAGGGGAGAGACAGGUGAGGGACAGGUGAGGGACAGGUGAGGGACAGGUGAGAGACAGGUGAGAGACAGGUGAGAGACAGGUGAGAGACAGGUGAGAGACAGGUGAGGGACAGGUGAGAGACAGGUGAGAGACAGGGGAGAGACAGGUGAGAGACAGGUGAGGGACAGGUGAGGGACAGGUGAGAGACAGGUGAGAGACAGGUGAGGGACAGGUGAGAGACAGGUGAGAGACAGGUGAGGGACAGGUGAGAGACAGGUGAGAGACAGGUGAGAGACAGGUGAGAGACAGGUGAGGGACAGGUGAGAGACAGGUGAGAGACAGGUGAGAGACAGGUGAGAGACAGGUGAGAGACAGGUGAGAGACAGGUGAGAGACAGGUGAGGGACAGGUGAGAGACAGGUGAGGGACAGGUGAGGGACAGGUGAGAGACAGGUGAGGGACAGGUGAGGG
Long non-coding RNA from Serinus canaria (Common canary), 722 nucleotides. RefSeq lists it as uncharacterized. Lineage: Eukaryota; Metazoa; Chordata; Aves; Passeriformes; Fringillidae. The record is from RefSeq and is a predicted model, not a curated record. The transcript has 5 exons.